AGAAAUAAUUGUGAAGACGCCUUCUUAUCACCAUGAAGUCUAUUUUCUUUGCUUUGGUCAUCUUUGCUGUGGCUAUGCAGGUAUUUUCGGAUAACUUAUCCAUCAAGGCCGAUACAGGGAAGGAGAAAUUUCUCACUAGCCUGUUCAACAUAACCACCAUCGUGUGCAGUACUGUCGUAAAGCCAGUUCAGACUACACUGACCAGUCUAGUA
This is a long non-coding RNA of Macrobrachium nipponense, 212 nucleotides long. RefSeq lists it as uncharacterized. The transcript is spliced from 5 exons. The record is from RefSeq and is a predicted model, not a curated record. NCBI's taxonomy places the organism in Eukaryota, Metazoa, Arthropoda, Malacostraca, Decapoda, Palaemonidae.